RNAcentral lists this signal recognition particle RNA (262 nucleotides) under Clostridiales bacterium. RNAcentral's name for it is "signal recognition particle sRNA large type". It matches the Rfam family "Bacterial large signal recognition particle RNA". Rfam says of the family: The signal recognition particle (SRP) is a universally conserved ribonucleoprotein involved in the co-translational targeting of proteins to membranes. Archaeal SRP consists of a 7S RNA and homologues of the eukaryotic SRP19 and SRP54 proteins. In most bacteria, the SRP consists of a 4.5S RNA and the Ffh protein (a homologue of the eukaryotic SRP54 protein). The record is from RNAcentral. Lineage: Bacteria; Bacillati; Bacillota; Clostridia; Eubacteriales.
CCGUGCAGCUGGGGAGUUAGCGGUGCCCUGUACCUGCAAUCCGCUAUAGCAGGAGUGAUGUUUUGCCUCGGGUGAUUUUUUGUGAUGCUGCCCUUUAAAAGUGAUGUUGACGUUUGGGUCUUACGCAAUAGAACUUCGCGAACUGUGUCAGGUCAGGAAUGAAGCAGCACUAAGCGGAAUUUUCUAUGUGCCGUGAGGGUGCCUGAGCCGAGUUAACUGUAAAGGUAACGGUUGUAAAAGACAUUCAAAGCAGAACGCACGG